Non-coding RNA from Corvus hawaiiensis (hawaiian crow), 72 nucleotides. The record is from the annotation of a RefSeq genome assembly. NCBI's taxonomy places the organism in Eukaryota, Metazoa, Chordata, Aves, Passeriformes, Corvidae.
GUUCCUGUAGUUAAAGUUUUAUAAUAACGGUUUUUCAUACCGUAGUUCUUGGGGAGGAUCCAAGCAGGAACC